Molecule: long non-coding RNA, 896 nt
Organism: Apis mellifera (honey bee)
Lineage: Eukaryota; Metazoa; Arthropoda; Insecta; Hymenoptera; Apidae
Exons: 4
Source: RefSeq, a predicted model, not a curated record
GCGUGUGAUUGCACAUAGUUCGCCUAUGUCGAUGAAUCUGUUCCACAAAACAUCGUGAUGAACGGAUCUUUUUUAAACGCGGAACCAUACGACCCGGCAAAUCGAUCUCGCCAGGAGACAAGUGAAACUUUUAUACUGUUCCGACAAUUCUGAAGAUAUGCUGGCCUGUUUGAGAUCAAGACUCGUUGCCAACUUUACCGACACGAGCGAUUCUUUAAUUCGACUAACCCUUUGCUCGAAUGCGUUUGAGAAUUGAGCACAAAGACGACAUGUAUCGUGAUAUGAGCGAGGAUUGGUAUCGAAUUGCACCGAUUAGUUUCACGUACGAGCGAAACACAUCACGAUCGCGACGCAUCAGCGAGGAAUUGCGAAAUUUUUACUUCGAGGGGGGAGGGUCAAUCGAUCCCACUCGAAGAGUCUCGCGCGUAUCUACGAAAACAGUAUAAUUAAAUAUCAGGGAGGGAGCAAAAUUGAUACUGAACACUCUCGAGCCCCCGUGUAUUUUUACCUAUCAAGGACGUUUCUGCAUGUGGAAUUCUACGACUCUUUAAGGCGUGAAGCCAUCAAGACAGAUUUCCAAUGGAGAAGAUCUUUCCAUAUUUCGACAAAUUCGGACGGUUGAAUUGUACACGUGUGUGUGGGCGAGCUUCGUGAAAAAUGGCGAACCUCUCUCUCUAAAUGAUAACGAAGGAGGCGUCACGUGGGACAGGUUUGCGCGAGACGAUUAUCUAGAGAUCUGCUUGAACUCCGUUAUGAGAACUGGUUUAUACGACGAUAGAAUGAAUGGGAAUGAAAAAACUUCAGAAAUAAUUUAAAUAAAUUUUAUUUAAUAUUAUUCUCUAUUCGAGAAGAAUUAAAGUUUCGAGUUUGUUCUAUUAGCAGGAAAAAUUUUUAUU